Molecule: ribosomal RNA, 251 nt
Filed under: uncultured bacterium
Lineage: Bacteria
Description: partial 16S ribosomal RNA
Rfam family: Bacterial small subunit ribosomal RNA
Source: RNAcentral
UACGAAGGGUGCAAGCGUUACUCGGAAUUACUGGGCGUAAAGCGUGCGUAGGUGGUUUGUUAAGUCUGCUGUGAAAGCCCGGGCUCAACCUGGGAAUGGCAGUGGAUACUGGCAAGCUAGAGUGCGGUAGAGGGUGUGGAAUUCCCGGUGUAGCGGUGAAAUGCGUAGAGAUCGGGAGGAACACCAGUGGCGAAGGCGGCACCCUGGACCAGCACUGACACUGAGGCACGAAAGCGUGGGGAGCAAACAGG